Molecule: unclassified non-coding RNA, 277 nt
Filed under: Hevea brasiliensis (rubber tree)
Lineage: Eukaryota; Viridiplantae; Streptophyta; Magnoliopsida; Malpighiales; Euphorbiaceae
Source: RNAcentral
AAAACACUGGCUACUUCAAAUUCAGUUGAUUCAAUUAAGGAAUCCAGUGACACAAAUAACAACGCAACUUACAGCUACGUGCCAGGAAAAUGGUUCUCCGAAAUUUAGUCCUCCAGGACCGUUGGAUUGCCAAGCAAAAGGAGCAGAUAAUAAAGCCGUGCUGCUUUUACAAUUUCACUCUAAUCCCAACAGAAACUGAAAAUUGUUUUGAAAAUUGCACUCAAACCUUCCAAUCCCAACAGAAAAGUUACUUCUCACUCCUUAGAACACAAAUCAA